Long non-coding RNA from Polypterus senegalus (gray bichir), 1894 nucleotides. RefSeq lists it as uncharacterized. The record is from RefSeq and is a predicted model, not a curated record. The transcript has 2 exons. NCBI's taxonomy places the organism in Eukaryota, Metazoa, Chordata, Cladistia, Polypteriformes, Polypteridae.
CAGAACGGAGACAGCAAUUCACUGCUGGGCAGCAACAUUCGAUAAUAUUCGAUAAAAUUAUUACAGCAACAAGAAGGGGGUUUCUGAGGUGAAAUGGACAUGCUAGAGGAAACCACAGCCCAAAGACUGGAAGACUGAUGUGGAGGGAGACAAACACUAAGAUUUUCACCUAUCGCUGAUGGGUCUGGAAUGUAACUUCUCCGAUAGGCGGUUGAUCACUGUAUUCUGAAAAAAGGGACACAAUGGAAAUUAUAGGGAGGAUCAAACUGCCUGGUUGUUUCAGUUUCUUAACAUUAAACCAAUGUUCAGCACAGCUGUAACACUGGAACCUACAUGGACUGAAAAUGAUUCUGGGUUACCUACAAAAGGACAAUCAGCCCACAGCUAAGAACAACAGGUAUCAUUGCCUUGGUGUGAUCGAGGGACAGGAAAGUGAAAUGAGUCACUGCCUUUGUUAAGGAAAUAGAGAAUACACUGACGUGAAAAUGAGGUACAUUCCUCCCAAAACUGAUAAUUUUUGUAUCAGUUACUCACCCUUCAUUGUUUAUAGUAAUGGCUGAGAAAAAAAUGAAUCUCAUGUAUUCAGGAGAAUGGGGAUAACAAUUUCUGAUACAAUGUGUUUCAGUGGAGACCCAGGUUGAACAAUAGCAUACAAUAUUAAAAUAUCCACAACAAAAAUCUCAUAUUAUUGUGUCACAUAAUCCAAGUUUCAGAUAUCCAAUGUUAUGCUCACAAUGUCCCAGGCACAUGCAUUUUGGCUAAAUAUUAUUAAGUAAACCAUUUCAAGAAAAUUCUUUUGUUCAUUGUAGUAAAGUGCAUUAAAAACACCAUAGAACUGAAUUGAACUGAAACAAAUUGAAGACCCUCCAAGGGGGAAUACAUUGGGCCACCCAUCUAUCAAAAGAUUAAGGAUGUAGGGUGAGAGCAUGCCAUCUUUCAUAGGGUUGAAGGUGUUUUUCGACAUGAUGCGAGACAUUGAUGACAUAUACAAGAUUGAUUGCAAGAAGUGUUUAAAGAGUUUAAACAUUAGGAUGGAAAACCCUAAAGAGAAGAUGCAUAAAGGCAGAUUCUACAGGGAGUAGCUGGGUAGAAAAGAAGUCAAAGCCAUGAUCAAACAGGAUGGAGUGUGAAAGUGCAAUGGUAGAAUGUAAUGCCAGGAGGUUACACCCCAGCACUUAAUCUGUGUCGGAAAAUGUUAGGUUUCUUAGGUGAAGAAGUCUUAAAAGAUAUGGCCUUGUAGUGUGUGGUACAGCUAAGAAAACUUUCUUAUAUAAAAGAUGUAAGCAGAAGAGAUGGCAGUACAAAAAACACCAUAGAGUAAAGAGGAACAAGCACUAUGUCAGAAGGCAAAUCGGGCUGAGGUCCACUGGGUCUGCCUACAGCGUUCUGUGAAGCAUGGUGGCAACUCUGUCAUGGUCUGGUGAGCACUUCAGUUGAUGAUGUUGGGGAUCUGGUGAAAAUCACUGGAAUGAUGACUGCUGAGACAUGUAAACAGAUUUUUGAUUCAUUGUACUGUACCUUUGGAAAAUUGGCUUACAAGCAAAAAUGUAAUUAUUUAGGAUAAUAAUGAUCCCAUCAACACUGAAAAUACACUCAACACCUACGGUACCUGGAGCAGAAGUCUGCAGAUGGAACACCAACAGUAUUAGACUGGCCAACUCAAACAGCAGACUUCAACUUAAUUGAAACUGUGGAAUAACUUAGGCAGGGGAAAAAUACAAAAUCAAACGAAGAAUGAUGGGAAAUCCUGAAAAAGCUUUGAAGAAUUUACCACAGGACUACUUCAUAAAAUUAUGCAGUGGUGUACCAAAGGAAAUUGCUUGUGUUUUGCAUUGUAAGAGAGGCCACAUAAAACAGUGACUUGUUUUCGAAAUACAAGACAUUCAUGUUACUA